Molecule: long non-coding RNA, 597 nt
Filed under: Mytilus galloprovincialis (Mediterranean mussel)
Lineage: Eukaryota; Metazoa; Mollusca; Bivalvia; Mytilida; Mytilidae
Source: RNAcentral
CGGCCAUUUUUUUAAAAAUGCUAGUGUUAGAUGCAUUUGUUCUCUUUGUUUAUCAUUUGUUAUAUUUUAGUUUUUUUUUAUCUUCCAAUUUUAUUUUACAUUUAUUUUUUUACAUUCCAUCUCUUUUGAUUUUCUUACUGUAUUACUAUUUUACAUUUGUUGUCCUAUUCUAUUUUAUAGAUAUUUUUUGUUUUUGUUAUUUUUGGAAUGUAUUUACAUACUUCUUAACUGAGACUGUUUCUCUUUGUAUUUCAUUUAUUGUUUCAUUUACUUACAUUACAUUAUUUACGAGCGAAUACAUGAUGUUUUUGUUCUGGUUUUGUUUUUUUCUUUCCCUUUGUUCUUUUUUUUAAACGCAAACUGAAAUAUCUACAUAGCCCAUAUUGCUGGUGUUUUGUGGUAAUAACACUCUACAAAUUUAUCGUCAAGAUUUUUCGGAUAAACAAAUCAAUCUUUAAUUCACAAAAAAUCUACCACGCUUAUAUAUAUCUAAGAUUUGAGAUGUGGUAUGAGUGCCAAGGAGACAACUCUCAAUCCAGAUUACAAUUUGUAAAAGUAAACAAUUAUAUACCGAAGUACGCUCUUCCACAUUGAACA